UCCUAGACACAACCUAUCAGUGGACAACAUAUUACAAUACAAGUAGGUGAUUGUUUGUGCUAAUGGCUAAUGAACAGAUUUUCUUACUGGCAGCCCUAUUCUUGGACCAAAGACAGGGACAUGGAGAGGGGAGAGCAAGCUCAUUUUUUCUAUUCUCACCCCUGCAGCAACACAGCCCACCAACCCAAGGGCCAUCACCCACCAGGCACCAUUCAUGUUUAUUUCUGAUACAGCUUUUGUUCUUUCCCAAGAGCCCUGUUAAAGUUGAUGUUGCAUUAGA
Long non-coding RNA from Myotis lucifugus (little brown bat), 280 nucleotides. RefSeq lists it as uncharacterized. NCBI's taxonomy places the organism in Eukaryota, Metazoa, Chordata, Mammalia, Chiroptera, Vespertilionidae. The transcript is spliced from 2 exons. The record is from RefSeq and is a predicted model, not a curated record.